Molecule: ribosomal RNA, 709 nt
Filed under: uncultured bacterium
Lineage: Bacteria
Description: bacterial SSU rRNA
Rfam family: Bacterial small subunit ribosomal RNA
Source: RNAcentral
AGAGUUUGAUCAUGGCUCAGGAUGAACGCUAGCGGCAGGCCUAACACAUGCAAGUCGAGGGGCAGCACGGGUAGCAAUACUUGGUGGCGACCGGCGCACGGGUGAGUAACGCGUAUGCAACCUACCUUCAACUGGGGGAUAGCUCAGUGAAAACUGGAUUAAUACCCCAUAACACAGGGAUACCGCAUGGUAAUAUUUGUUAAAGCUCCGGCGGUUGAAGAUGGGCAUGCGUGCCAUUAGCUAGUUGGUAGGGUAACGGCCUACCAAGGCAACGAUGGCUAAGGGGUCUGAGAGGAUGAUCCCUCACACUGGUACUGAGACACGGACCAGACUCCUACGGGAGGCAGCAGUGAGGAAUAUUGGUCAAUGGGGGCAACCCUGAACCAGCCAUGCCGCGUGAAGGAAGACGGCCCUAAGGGUUGUAAACUUCUUUUGUACGGGGGUAAAGACAGAUACGUGUAUUUGUUUGAAAGUACUGUACGAAUAAGCAUCGGCUAACUCCGUGCCAGCAGCCGCGGUAAUACGGAGGAUGCAAGCGUUAUCCGGAUUUAUUGGGUUUAAAGGGUGCGUAGGCGGAUUUAUAAGUCAGCGGUGAAAGACUGUCGCUCAACGAUAGCAUUGCCAUUGAUACUGUAGAUCUUGAGUACACUUGAGGUAGGCGGAAUGUGUAGUGUAGCGGUGAAAUGCUUAGAUAUUACACAGAACACCA